AAUUUGAUUGAAUCAACACGAGCACGAAGAAUCGAACCAAUUUCGUUUUGGGGAGAAAAACUACAUUCCUGCUCGUGAUCUGAAAUCCCCGGUGUUUGAGUUCGAAUUGAGACAUGACUCUUUCGGGAUAGCUUACCAACUCCAUGGAGAUCACGUGUGCAAAGUUUGGGAGCGAUUCCUUUUGAUUUGGUCAAGUUUCGGGUGUUUUCCUCUUUAUUUAUCCUGUCAUCCUUCUCUUCCAGGCUGCGGCAGCGGGUUUCAGGAGGAGGUUCGAAGGGGAGGCGGUGGGGAUCAAGGAGCAGGUGCUCACCAGGCAGCGAUGGAGGAGGCCGCCGCCACCACGAAGACCCUGAACGCGAACGGCGCGUGCCGGCGAGGGAAGCUGCUAUGGUUUCCUGAGCAGCCUGUGGCGGCUAAGAUGGUGGUUGCUGUUGAUGUUGAUGAAGAUCUUGUAAAUGUUGUGCUUGAGAAGCACAAGAGAUAUCCGGCGCUACGAGGUAGAGCAAAAUCCAUCCAUAGAUGAAAAGAAAGAGGGGAUCAGAUCCUUGCCAAGGUGCGACUUCCUGUCCUGCAUUGCCUUUUUCUUCCUUUAUUAGAUGGUGCUUGGGAUUUCCUUGAUGUUCUGUUAUACUUAUGCUCAUCUGGUUGAUGCUAAAACAAUUUUGAACAUCUUGUGAGUUACCAACCUGUUUUGAUGUUUUGGUGAGUUACCAACCUGCUAAAACUAUGGCUGGUUUGCCAUAGUUUCCAAUUCCCAGGGGUUAUGGAUUCAAAUUUCACCCAACACAUGGUUAUAAUCUACUUUCACUAAAUUGAUGUUUCGCUUCUCAUUUGUGUACCCUGAUCUGACAUAAUAUGUAUAGUUCUCUGUUCAUCCUGCAUUUGAGUUGAUGUUGCAGAACCUCUGAACAGCUACAGUUUUUUUUUUUUUUUUUGCAUUUGGAUGCUUCGGACAAGCAGGUUUCACAACUGAAGUUGAACUUCUUGUCAUUUGAGCAUUCGAAGCCACUGGAAUUUUUUUGACAAUGCAAACAACCAAUAUUUGUGGUGGUUCUCCAGACUUAUUGAUCAUUAAGCAUUGCUUGUGCCACUGACUUAUUUAUCAUGGUCCAUUCUGUCGGCCUCCUACCAUUCCUUAUAUGAAUAAAUAUAUCUAUUGUUCCAGAUUAAUUGGAAAUUUACUUGUAAAUGAAGUAUUCCUCUUGGUUUAGCAAUAUGUUAGCAUGAGCUUUUUUGGGAGGUGGUGGGGGCCAUAUGAGCUCUAACCAGUGAUGUAUCAUUAGCAUUUUUUUUCUAAAAUUCUGAACAUUUGCCAGAUGAUCUUUUGAGUUUAUAUUGUGUGACAAUCUCUGGUGCACUGUAGGAAAAUGGAUUGCUUCAUGUUAGGAAGAUGCUCAGCAGCCAUGUUUUCAGAUUCGAACAUGGCUAUGGCCAUGAUGAAGAAGAACCUGUCCAUGAUAGUUCCCCUGGUUCAGGGCUCUGCAAAUUGAGUUAUAUGCAUCAUAUUAAUAGUGCUAUCUAUUUAUAUUAACAUU
This is a long non-coding RNA of Panicum virgatum (switchgrass), 1535 nucleotides long. RefSeq lists it as uncharacterized. The record is from RefSeq and is a predicted model, not a curated record. The transcript is spliced from 2 exons. Lineage: Eukaryota; Viridiplantae; Streptophyta; Magnoliopsida; Poales; Poaceae.